RNAcentral lists this ribosomal RNA (486 nucleotides) under uncultured bacterium. RNAcentral's name for it is "bacterial SSU rRNA". It matches the Rfam family "Bacterial small subunit ribosomal RNA", at positions 504 to 986 of the family's 1533-position model. The record is from RNAcentral.
UGUGCCAGCAGCCGCGGUAAAACGUAGGACGCAAGCGUUAUCCGGAAUUACUGGGCGUAAAGCGCGCGCAGGCGGGUCAACAAGUCAUGCGUGAAAGCUCCUGGCUAAACUGGGAGAGGUCGGAUGAAACUGUUGGUCUUGAGUGUGGCAGAGGCGUGUGGAAUUCCGCGUGUAGUGGUGAAAUGCGUAGAGAUGCGGAGGAACACCAGAGGCGAAGGCGGCACGCUGGGCCACAACUGACGCUGAGGCGCGAAAGCAUGGGUAGCGAACGGGAUUAGAAACCCCGGUAGUCCAUGCCGUAAACGAUGUACACUAGACGUUCGUGCAACUGAGGUUGUAUGAGUGUCGCAGCAAACGCGAUAAGUGUACCGCCUGGGGAGUACGGUCGCAAGGCUAAAACUCAAAGGAAUUGACGGGGGCCCGCACAAGCAGCGGAGCGUGUGGUUUAAUUCGAGGUUACGCGAAGAACCUUACCUGGGCUUGACA